UAAAUUAAAUAAAAUCUUAUUAUUAUUAAUUAAAUUUAAAGAACAUAAAUAAAAACUAUAGUACUGCAAAGGAAAUAAUAAUUAAAUAAGUAGUAAUAUACGUACCUUGUGCAUAAUGGAUUUACAAGAUAUAAUAUAAAAUAAAAUCCCGAAUUCUUUACGAGCUUAAUAAUAAUUGUUAAGAACUUAUAAAUAAAUGUUGCAAUAUUUUUUAAAAAUUAUUAUUAAGAGGCUACAUACCAAACGCGUAAGAAUAUAGCUGGUUUCUAUUAAAAACUAUAUAUUAGAACAUCUAUUAUAGAAUGUAAAAUAAUAAAAGAUAAGUUUUAUUAUAUAAUCAAUAAAAAAUAUAAAUAAUAAAUUUAGUAGGCCUAAUAACAGCCAACUUUUAAUACUUUAUAGUAAUAUAAAAAUUAUAUAUUUAUAAUUAUAAAUGAUAAAAAUAAAUAGAUAUUAAAAUAAAUUAAAAUUCUUAAUUAAUUAUGUAAAUAUUAGUAUUAAAUUAAAUAUAUUAAAGGAACUCGGCAAAUAUUAUUUCGACUGUUUAACAAAAACAUUUCUUUUAGUAAAUAUUAAAAGUAUAUCCUGCCCAAUGAAAAUUUCAAUGGCCGCGGUAUCCUAACCGUGCAAAGGUAGCAUAAUAAUUUGUCUAUUAAUUGUAGACUAGAAUGAAUGGAUGAACGAAAUAAAUACUGUCUCUAAUAUAUAAAUAAAAAUUAUCUUUUAAGUGAAGAGACUUAAAUAAAAUUAAAAGACAGGAAGACCCUAUUGAGCUUUACUUAAAAUAUAAAUAAAUUAUAUUAUAGUUUGGUUGGGGUGACCUAGGAAUAUUUAACAUCCUAAAAAUAAAAGAUAUAUAAAUCUCAAAUAGAUCCAAUAUAUGAUCAUUAAAUUAAGUUACCAUAGGGAUAACAGGCUAAUAUUUUUUUAGAGUUCUUAUUAACAAAAAUGUUUGGCACCUCGAUGUUGGCUUAGGGAUACAUUAUGGUGCAGAAGCCAUAAAUGAAGGUUUGUUCAACCUAUAAAACCCUACAUGAGCUGAGUUCAGACCGGCGUAAGCCAGGUUAGAUUCUAUCUUUAAUUAAAGUUUUGUUUUCAGUACGAAAGGACCUAAAUAAUACUAUAAUAGUAAUUAAAAUAAUUAUUUU
This 1148-nucleotide ribosomal RNA is filed under the name Baicaloclepsis echinulata. RNAcentral's name for it is "16S ribosomal RNA". The stretch from base 724 to 1083 matches the Rfam family "Bacterial large subunit ribosomal RNA", at positions 2049 to 2651 of the family's 2925-position model. Lineage: Eukaryota; Metazoa; Annelida; Clitellata; Rhynchobdellida; Glossiphoniidae. The record is from RNAcentral.